GAGGGGAUAGCUCAAGUGGUAGAGCACAUGCUUAGCAUGCAUGAGGUCCUGAGUUCAAUCCCCAGUACCUCCU
This 73-nucleotide transfer RNA is filed under the name Camelus bactrianus (Bactrian camel). It matches the Rfam family "tRNA". From Rfam's summary of the family: Transfer RNA (tRNA) molecules are approximately 80 nucleotides in length. Lineage: Eukaryota; Metazoa; Chordata; Mammalia; Artiodactyla; Camelidae. The record is from Rfam by way of RNAcentral. RNAcentral also lists the same sequence under 3 other names.